Long non-coding RNA from Diceros bicornis minor, 932 nucleotides. RefSeq lists it as uncharacterized. The record is from RefSeq and is a predicted model, not a curated record. The transcript has 3 exons. Lineage: Eukaryota; Metazoa; Chordata; Mammalia; Perissodactyla; Rhinocerotidae.
GCAACCAUAGAGGAGCAGAGAUUUGUUCUUUCUCCUGAAUGACACCUCUGUUGCCAAUGGAUGGAAAGGCUUCUCUUGGCCUGAAUCUUCUAAGAGCAUCCAGGAACUUGUGACCUUCAAAGAUGUGGCUGUCGACGUGACGCGAGAAGAGGGGCCUGCUGGACACGCCCCAGAGAAAGCUGUUCAGAGAUGCGAUGCUGGAGAACCUCAGUCAUCUGGCCUCCGUGGCCCUUCAUCAUAGUCCAGGUUCUGGACACGUGAAGUACCGGGAACUGAGCCCAGGGCUUGUCACCGCCUCCUACGUGAACGUGGAGUAGAAAUGGAAAUGACAUUCUUCGGCCCUGGUGUGAAAUUGCACAGGCAGUUUGGCGGUUCACAUUCUAGCUUUCAUCGUAAAGCACCCGUUUUAAUUGCUGGAGCCUCAGAAGUUCCAGAUCCAACCGCGGCCCACAUCGACCCGCACCAAGGUCCGGGCUGCCACAACCCAGGUCCCCGGAUGGACACUCACAAAAUGUUCACAGGAAAGGUAUUUUGACAUACACCAUUUUCAAGUGGUUGAGAAGGAAACAUCUCAGCAUUCAUUGUGUGUCCUCAAAACGCUCAGCUUUUACCUUCAAGUGUCUUUGCAACAUUCAACGUGAAGUAGAACGGAAGCAGCCAGGCUCCACUGGACACACAUCUACGUGGAUGCAAAGCGUAGACCCAAGUUCCGUGGGAGGAAAAAAGCCUCGGAAACGCCCCGGGGCUGGAGGAAGGAAGUCCGGGAACUGCCCGGACGUCGGCCCCGCCCACGCAGCUGCCUGCCGACCCGGAAGCGGAAAUACUGUGGCGCAACUCUUACUCGGUGAAUGUGCUGCGGUCGUCGUGGCUCAAGCGCGCUCGUCGCGUCCUCUCCCGCCCCGUCCUCCACGCCCGGCCCGGGCCCCAGCGGA